ACCCAGCUGAUGAGUCCCAAAUAGGACAAAACCCACGUCAAACUGGAU
Molecule: non-coding RNA, 48 nt
Organism: Schistosoma margrebowiei
Lineage: Eukaryota; Metazoa; Platyhelminthes; Trematoda; Strigeidida; Schistosomatidae
Source: Rfam